CCCAACACAGCAGCUGACUUCAUCAGCGCAAGCAAGCAAGAAGAGCCGGAGAGAAAGUGAGCAAGGUAAACGAGCCGGCUUCAAACCACAGAGCUGGGGCAGUACAUACAUGCUUUUUAGGGGACCACCAGGAAAUGGAAGUACCUUAUUUAGCCAACACCCCACAGAAACCAAGGUGAAUAAUCACAUGGCACAGGGAGCAAGACCUGGAUUUGCUGAAGACCUUUCCUUUACGUGGCGCCACAGCACAGCGGCUCAGAACCACCGACGGAUGCUGGGGCCACAUGGCAGCCUUGAAAUCACUGCUGGACGCUACUUACAGGAUGUGUGAUAUUGGGCAGCAACUCGAGUCCCCUAAUCUUCACAGCAGCCCUGUGUGAAUUUGGAGACCCCACCAGUAUGGCUCAACUCAUGAGAACCUACCAGAGUGAAGCAAAAACAGUCUUGAAUCAAGUAUUACCACACCAAGAUUGGCACUGAAAACUUGCAGAGGAAGUUCGGAGCCAGAAUAUUGGAUGUCCCCAUGGUUUGGGCAAUUACAGUAAAUGUUUCCCAUCCCUGCUGCUCCUAUAAGUGCUUGGAAAAGGUAUCUUGGGCCUAUAGAAAAGGUGAGUGGGGCUUAACACCAUAGGCUUUUGGUCACUGUAUUAAACUGUGUUACUAAGGGAUAACCAAAGACCCUAGCAAAGAUGGGGGGAAAAUAACUCAUUUAUUUCUUUCGGUUUCAGGAAGUUACUCUAUGUUGUGUGGGCAAAGACUUUGUGUCUUAUUUUCAUUUUUCUUUUAGCUAAAGUUGUAUAAUUUGCCCAGCAACUUUUCGCACAUUGGUCUCUGUCUCUAAGUGGUCUUUUAAAAUUCUUUGUGUGGUAUGACCAGAGAGAUUUUAGAUAUAGAGUGGUCUGUUUGCUUAAAAUGUUUUUGAAAAAUUAAAGUUAAUUGACUGUGGGACUUGGUCAUUUGUAUGCAUCAUGAGAACAUCCAGUUCCAACAGAGAGAGCCAUCUUGAGAUGAAAAAAGAACAGAAAAAUCUGUUCAGUGGAUAUCAUGAAAAUAUGAUACCCUAUUCUGUGAUGUUAAAGAAAAUCACAGGGUUUUUGUGUGUGUACAUGUGUGUGUGUGUGUGUGUGUGUGUGUGUGUGUGCGUGUGCGUGCAUGCACUGAGCAUAACGACUGAAGAGGUUGACUGGAAUAGGGUAAGAAAUGGAGCUACCUCUGGAGAUACAAAUAAUAUUAUCUAAUGCAAACUAUUUACUUACUGUUGCAAGUUGGGUUUUCCUGGAAGCAGACCUGGAGACAGUUUAGCAGGCAGGAUGGUUAUGAAGGGAUCAUCACCUGUGGAUGGUGGGGUAUCAAGCAGGUAUGGGUAGAAGAAGUCCAAACUGUAAUGCAGGCCCUACAAAUACUUUGGGCAACCCUAAAGGGUACUCAGAAGUUAGAAUAGGCCUUUAGUGUUGUCCUGUUAGUUCAAGAUUGAUUGAACAUUUAUAUCUCACAUGGAUGUGGUUCCCUGCAGCUGAGAUAUCACCUGACAGCAGCAAGAUUCCUGCUUAUAUCACUCCCAGCAGCUGGGGCAAGUCCUUCAAUGAGAGGGGAUCUGGGUGGAUCAUCAAGGGAUCCACCUCCUUGGUUAUGUAAGUUUGUGAAACUAAAUUGCUUAAUCUGGAGGGAAAUGAACAAGAUAGUUAAAUUUAUCAAAUUUAAUGGAGCACAUAUUAAAUUAGCCUAGGGACUUAUAUUUAAAUAUGCACAUUUAGAAUGAAGAGUCUCAAUAACUCAU
Molecule: long non-coding RNA, 1777 nt
Filed under: Sus scrofa (pig)
Lineage: Eukaryota; Metazoa; Chordata; Mammalia; Artiodactyla; Suidae
Description: lncRNA (ENSSSCG00065048203.1)
Source: RNAcentral